CCUUCGGGAGGCAGCAGUGAGGAAUAUUGGUCAAUGGACGCAAGCCUGAACCAGCCAUGCCGCGUGCAGGAAGACGGCCCUAUGAGUUGUAAACUGCUUUUGUACGAGGGUAAACGCAGAUACGCGUAUCUGUCUGAAAGUACCGUACGAAUAAGGAUCGGCUAACUCCGUGCCAGCAGCCGCGGUAAUACGGAGGAUUCAAGCGUUAUCCGGAUUUAUUGGGUUUAAAGGGUGCGUAGGCGGUCGGGUAAGUUAGAGGUGAAAUCCCGAGGCUCAACUUCGGAAUUGCAUCUGAUACUGGUCGGCUUGAGAGUAGUUGCGGUAGGCGGAAUGUAUGGUGUAGCGGUGAAAUGCUUAGAGAUCAUGAAGAACACCGAUUGCGAAGGCAGCUUACCAAGCUGCUUCUGACGUUGAGGCACGAAAGCGUGGGUAGCAAACAGGAUUAGAUACCCGAGUAGUC
This 460-nucleotide ribosomal RNA is filed under the name uncultured bacterium. RNAcentral's name for it is "partial 16S ribosomal RNA". It matches the Rfam family "Bacterial small subunit ribosomal RNA", at positions 338 to 795 of the family's 1533-position model. The record is from RNAcentral.